Molecule: ribosomal RNA, 746 nt
Filed under: Pseudomonadota bacterium
Lineage: Bacteria; Pseudomonadati; Pseudomonadota
Description: Proteobacteria bacterium (gut metagenome) partial 23S ribosomal RNA
Rfam family: Bacterial large subunit ribosomal RNA
Source: RNAcentral
GAUUAAGCUAUAAAGGGCACACGGUGGAUGCCUUGGCGCUGAGAGGCGAUGAAAGACGUAGUAGACUGCGAUAAGCUUCGGCGAGUUGUCAAACGAACUGUGACCCGAAGAUUUCUGAAUGGGGAAACCCGGCAGUGCGAUAAGUGCUGUCAUCCUGAACUGAAUUCAUAGGUUCAGAGAGGCGAACGCGGAGAACUGAAACAUCUAAGUAACCGCAGGAAGAGAAAAAAUGAUCGAUUCCCUGAGUAGCGGCGAGCGAACGGGGAAGAGCCUAAACGCAUGUAUGUGUAAGUGUUGCAGCGUUGCUGCAUGCGGGUCGUGGGAUUUUCUGUCAGAUGGUGCAUCACAUCUGGGUAACUGGCAAUUCGAAGAGGAACAGGACUGGAAAGCCUGGCCAAAGUGGGUAAUAGCCCCGUAGUUGUGUGAAUUGCUUAAUUACUACGAAGACACCCGAGUACGACGGGACACGUGGAACCCUGUUGGAAUCAGCGAGGACCACCUAGCAAGGCUAAAUACUCCUCAUAGACCGAUAGUGAACAAGUAACGUGAGGGAAAUGUUAAAAGCACCCCUGCGAGGGGAGUGAAAGAGACCCUGAAACCGUGUGCCUACAAACCGUUGGAGCCAUUGCCCGCAAGGGAGGGUGACAGCGUACCUUUUGCAUAAUGAGUCAGCGAGUUACGUUUUGUCGCAAGGUUAAGCCGUUUGAGGUGUAGCCGAAGGGAAACCGAGUCUGAACAGGGCGAUU